This 238-nucleotide ribosomal RNA is filed under the name uncultured bacterium. RNAcentral describes it as "partial 16S ribosomal RNA". It matches the Rfam family "Bacterial small subunit ribosomal RNA", at positions 100 to 334 of the family's 1533-position model. The record is from RNAcentral.
CGGGACGGGUGAGUAACGCGUGAGGAACCUGCCUUGAAGAGGGGGACAACAGUUGGAAACGACUGCUAAUACCGCAUAAGCCCACGGCUCGGCAUCGAGCAGAGGGAAAAGGAGCAAUCCGCUUUGAGAUGGCCUCGCGUCCGAUUAGCUAGUUGGUGAGGUAACGGCCCACCAAGGCGACGAUCGGUAGCCGGACUGGGAGGUUGAACGGCCACAUUGGGACUGAGACACGGCCCAG